This 497-nucleotide ribosomal RNA is filed under the name uncultured bacterium. Its description in RNAcentral is "partial 16S ribosomal RNA". It matches the Rfam family "Bacterial small subunit ribosomal RNA", at positions 28 to 507 of the family's 1533-position model. The record is from RNAcentral.
GAUGAACGCUGGCGGCGUGCCUAAUACAUGCAAGUCGAGCGAACGGACGAGAAGCUUGCUUCUCUGAUGUUAGCGGCGGACGGGUGAGUAACACGUGGAUAACCUACCUAUAAGACUGGGAUAACUUCGGGAAACCGGAGCUAAUACCGGAUGAUAUUUUGAACCGCAUGGUUCAAAAGUGAAAGACGGUCUUGCUGUCACUUAUAGAUGGAUCCGCGCUGCAUUAGCUAGUUGGUAAGGUAACGGCUUACCAAGGCAACGAUGCAUAGCCGACCUGAGAGGGUGAUCGGCCACACUGGAAGUUGGACACCGUCCCGGCUCCUGCGGGAGGCCGCAGAAGCGAACCUUCCGCAGUGGGCGAAAGCCUGGCGGAGCGACGCCGAGUGAGUGAUAGAGGUCUUCGGAUCGUAAAGCUGUGUUAUUAGGGAAGAACAUAUGUGUAAGUAGCUGUACACAUCUUGACGGUACCUAAACAGAAAGCCACGGCUAACUACGUG